Molecule: ribosomal RNA, 484 nt
Filed under: uncultured bacterium
Lineage: Bacteria
Description: partial 16S ribosomal RNA
Rfam family: Bacterial small subunit ribosomal RNA
Source: RNAcentral
AUUGAACGCUGGCGGCAGGCCUAACACAUGCAAGUCGAGCGGAUGAAGGGAGCUUGCUCCUGGAUUCAGCGGCGGACGGGUGAGUAAUGCCUAGGAAUCUGCCUGGUAGUGGGGGAUAACGUCCGGAAACGGGCGCUAAUACCGCAUACGUCCUGAGGGAGAAAGUGGGGGAUCUUCGGACCUCACGCUAUCAGAUGAGCCUAGGUCGGAUUAGCUAGUUGGUGGGGUAAAGGCCUACCAAGGCGACGAUCCGUAACUGGUCUGAGAGGAUGAUCAGUCACACUGGAACUGAGACACGGUCCAGACUCCUACGGGAGGCAGCAGUGGGGAAUAUCGGACAAUGGGCGAAAGCCUGAUCCAGCCAUGCCGCGUGUGUGAAGAAGGUCUUCGGAUUGUAAAGCACCUUAAGUUGGGAGGAAGGGCAGUAAGUUAAUACCUUGCUGUUUUGACGUUACCAACAGAAUAAGCACCGGCUAACUUCGUG